RNAcentral lists this unclassified non-coding RNA (1471 nucleotides) under Leishmania donovani. RNAcentral describes it as "gene:unknown". The record is from RNAcentral. Lineage: Eukaryota; Euglenozoa; Kinetoplastea; Trypanosomatida; Trypanosomatidae.
ACUGCUCCGUUGUCGUUUACAGAAAGGUGGCUCGCCUGAACGCAGUUGGGGCGCAGAUCUCAAAUGCGAGAAGCCAGAAGCACCCGUGAGUACUAUUGAGCAUGCUCUUCAGCUGGAGAUUGCACAGCGAACUUAAAGCGGAUGUUUUCGUUUCACAUUUUUCUCCACCUCACUCCCUGCCCACCUCGCUCCCCAAGAAUUGGGGUCAACCUGCUCUGAGGACUGUGAAUGAUGUAAACAGUGAGCGCCAUCGAUGAAUUGUCAGAGCGCCAAGAAAAGCCCAUGGCGGGACAUCCUCGCGGAGGUUACCGUUCAGCAGAACCUGAUAGAAUCCCUUUUACACGCAGCGCCAGAAUCGAGAGAUAACAGGCGAGACACAUCAAUCGGUUUCUCUGCGCCUUCUCCAAACGUCUGCGCCCCCCGCUGGUCGAGCAGGCGAGCCUCUGCGCGAUCAACCGGCACCAGAGCAAUCAUUUCUCCUAGUCCAGAGCGACAAAAAGCGAGAGCCUUGCGCGACAACGGGUCACCGCUAGCUAACGUCUGCCAAAGUGGGCCCGCCAACAAGGUGGGAGCCAGCAUCGGGAGCCACUCGCAGUCGACAGCAAGAGAGACCUCCAAGGUGGUCGAGGCCCUUGUUGAAGCGCUCUCCACCUCAUCCUGGUCUAGCGAUGGUGACGGGUCGGCCACGCAGGUUGGACAGGGUUUUACGUCGACACGAGGUGCUGCCGCUUCGAGUUCCAAGGUGCACUCGCGAAGUGAGUCGCCUGGAGGCACGAUCGCGUCGGACGUAGGACAGCACCAUCGGGAGACGGCCUACACUGCACAUUUUUUCCUCAAGGCCACACAUAUCGUUGCUAGUGAGUUUGAGGGGCGCCAGAGCAUCGUCUUUGGCGAGUUUACCGAGGUCACCGAACUUGUGUCACGAUUUGUUUGCCGUGUGACAAUGACAUCGCCUCCUCUGUGAUAUAGUUGCGCGAAUGCAGCUGGCGCCUGUGGCCAGUGUGGAGAUGCUGUCUGCACCGCUCACAGCCGCAGGAGAGAGAGGAAUGCAACAGCAGCAGCAAGUGUCGCUCUUGAGUGAAGGGCAAAGGCGAUGCACUGGCACGGAUGGCGCGACCGUGGUGCACGCGCAAAGGAAGAGAGACGACCUCAACCCCCAUCCAAAAUGCACACAAACAGAUAUAAGAUGAGACCCUCUACGCUGCUCAGCACACGGUGACCACGCACAAGAAGGAGUGACGCCAUUCCUCGUAUGAGAGAUAACGGGGAGCUCUUCGUAAGGUACGGCGAUGUGAUCAUGGAUUAUCGAGAGUGUUCGACAACGUUCUUCACACGCUACGGCCUCGUCUAUCGCUGCACCUUCUGCUCUGUCCCUCCUAAUUGUUCUGUUCUUCCCCUUUCCCGGUUGUGCCAGUCUUCAUAUAUGUCUCUCCCUCCUAUCCUUCCUUUUUCUCGUCUAUUUAUUAUGUAG